GUUGAACGCUGGCGGCAGGCCUAACACAUGCAAGUCGAGCGGAGCGGCGAAAGGGGGGUUAAUGCCUAGUAAUCUGCCUGGUAGUGAGGGAUAACGCCCGGGAACGGACCCUAAUACCGCAUACUAGCAGAUGAGCCUAGGUCGGCUUAGCUAGGUGGUUGGGUAAAGGACUACCAAGGCGACGAUCCGUAACUGGUCUGAGAGGAUUAUCCGUCACACUGGAACGUAGAAACGGUCCAGACUCCUACGGGAGGCAGCAGUGGGGAAUAUUGGACAAUGGGCGAAAGCCUGACCCAGCCACGCCGCGUGUGUGAAGAAGGUUUUCGGAUUGUAAAGCACUUUAAGUAGGGAGGCGUUACCAACAGAAUAAGCACCGGCUAACUCCGUGCCAGCAGCCGCGGUAAUAC
Molecule: ribosomal RNA, 407 nt
Filed under: uncultured bacterium
Lineage: Bacteria
Description: partial 16S ribosomal RNA
Rfam family: Bacterial small subunit ribosomal RNA
Source: RNAcentral